This 504-nucleotide ribosomal RNA is filed under the name uncultured bacterium. Its description in RNAcentral is "partial 16S ribosomal RNA". It matches the Rfam family "Bacterial small subunit ribosomal RNA", at positions 30 to 523 of the family's 1533-position model. The record is from RNAcentral.
AUUGAACGCUGGCGGCAGGCCUAACACAUGCAAGUCGAACGGUAGCACAGAGAGCUUGCUCUCGGGUGACGAGUGGCGGACGGGUGAGUAACGUCUGGGAAACUGCCCGAUGGAGGGGGAUAACUACUGGAAACGGUAGCUAAUACCGCAUAACGUCGCAAGACCAAAGUGGGGGACCUUCGGGCCUCACACCAUCGGAUGUGCCCAGAUGGGAUUAGCAAGUAGGUGGGGUAAUGGCUCACCUAGGCGACGAUCCCUAGCUGGUCUGAGAGGAUGACCAGCCACACUGGAACUGAGACACGGUCCAGACUCCUACGGGAGGCAGAAGUGGGGAAUAUUGCACAAUGGGCGCACGCCUGAUGCAGCCAUGCCGCGUGUAUGAAGAAGGCCUUCGGGUUGUAAAGUACUUUCAGCGGGGAGGAAGGCGGUGAAGUUAAUAACUUCACCGAUUGACGUUACCCGCAGAAGCAGCACCGGCUAACUCCGUGCCAGCCGCCGCGGUAA